RNAcentral lists this non-coding RNA (165 nucleotides) under chicken gut metagenome. Its description in RNAcentral is "Lysine riboswitch". It matches the Rfam family "Lysine riboswitch aptamer". From Rfam's summary of the family: Riboswitches are metabolite binding domains within certain messenger RNAs that serve as precision sensors for their corresponding targets. Allosteric rearrangement of mRNA structure is mediated by ligand binding, and this results in modulation of gene expression. The record is from RNAcentral.
GAUGAUAGAGGUGCAGAACUCAUGAGUAUUCCUGCGGAGGCGCUCAACCGUCCGCGAAACAGGGAGAAAGGGAGUUUUGCCGAAAUGGAACACUGGAUUGAGAAGCGUUCUGUUGGUCGGCAGGAGAAGAUGUUGCCGACUGUCACGGUAUGUGGAGCGCUAUCG